Molecule: non-coding RNA, 30 nt
Filed under: Rattus norvegicus (Norway rat)
Lineage: Eukaryota; Metazoa; Chordata; Mammalia; Rodentia; Muridae
Source: RNAcentral
UAGAAAAAGAAAGGGUGCCAGAGCCAGGGC